GUCCACACCGUAAACGAUGAUCACUAGUCGUCGGAGGAUUCGACCCCUUCGGUGACGUCGCUAACGCAUUAAGUGAUCCACCUGGGGAGUACGCUCGCAAGGGUGAAACUCAAAGGAAUUGACGGGAGCCCGCACAAGCGGUGGAGCAUGUGGUUUAAUUCGAUGCAACGCGAAGAACCUUACCUGGGCUCGAAGUGUAGUGUAAACUCAUGAAAGUGAGGUAUCCCUUCGGGGAGCGCUACAUAGGUGCUGCAUGGCUGUCGU
This 264-nucleotide ribosomal RNA is filed under the name uncultured bacterium. RNAcentral describes it as "partial 16S ribosomal RNA". It matches the Rfam family "Bacterial small subunit ribosomal RNA", at positions 793 to 1055 of the family's 1533-position model. The record is from RNAcentral.